CCUACGGGAGGCAGCAGUGAGGAAUAUUGGUCAAUGGCCGGAAGGCUGAACCAGCCAUGCCGCGUGAAGGUCAGUGCCCUAUGGGCGUUAAACUUCUUUUGUGCGGGAGCAAUAAUGGUCACGUGUGGCCAGACGAGAGUACCGUACGAAUAAGCAUCGGCUAACUCCGUGCCAGCAGCCGCGGUAAUACGGGGGAUGCAAGCGUUAUCCGGAUUUAUUGGGUUUAAAGGGUGCGUAGGCUGUGAGGUAAGUCAGCGGUGAAAUGCCCCCGCUCAACGGGGUGAAGUGCCAUUGAUACUGCCUGGCUGGAAUGCGGAUGCCGUGGGAGGAAUGUGUGGUGUAGCGGUGAAAUGCAUAGAUAUCACACAGAACACCGAUUGCGAAGGCAUCUCACGAAGCCGCGAUUGACGCUGAUGCACGAAAGCGUUGGUAUCAAACAGGAUUAGAUACCCUAGUAGUC
RNAcentral lists this ribosomal RNA (460 nucleotides) under uncultured bacterium. RNAcentral describes it as "partial 16S ribosomal RNA". It matches the Rfam family "Bacterial small subunit ribosomal RNA", at positions 338 to 795 of the family's 1533-position model. The record is from RNAcentral.